AUGGCGGCUGUAGCCGUCACACGCCGGAGGCUCUCGGCGCUCCUCCACUCCUCCCGCGCGAUUCCCCGUCGCCUCCUCCUCCUCACCGGCGCCGCCGCCUCUGCGCCCUCAGCCCACCCCUCUCCGUGGGCGCCGCCGUCGCGAGGGGCAAAGACGGCGCUGCCGGGAAGGCCCGGGUACUCUCCGCUCAACGACCCGUCCCCGAACUGGAGCAACCGGCCACCCAAGGAGACCAUCCUGCUGGAUGGCUGCGACUACGAGCACUGGCUCAUUGUCAUGGAGUUCCCCGCCGACCCCAAGCCCUCCGAGGAAGAUAUGGUGGCCGCCUACGUCAAGACCCUCACCGCUGUGCUCGGAAGUGAGGAGGAGGCAAAGAAGAAGAUCUACUCAGUAUGCACUACAACUUACACAGGGUUUGGUGCGUUGAUUUCGGAGGAGUUAUCAUACAAAGUUAAAGGAUUGCCGGGAGUUCUUUGGGUAUUACCUGAUUCAUAUUUGGAUGUGCCUAACAAGGAUUAUGGAGGUGAUCUCUUUGUAGAUGGCAAAGUCAUUCAUAGGCCACAAUUUCAGUUCACUGAGAGGCAGCAGGUAAGGAGCAGACCUCGUCCCCGCUAUGACAGGCGACGAGAGACUAUGCAGGUUGAGCGAAGAGAAACUAUGCAGAGAGGUCCUUCAGUACAAGAGCACAGACCUCCGUUUUCUAAGCAGGUUGCUCAAAAUAAUGGGCAGCAUGAAAUCGUACCGCCAGGAAGGAACUAA
RNAcentral lists this ribosomal RNA (759 nucleotides) under Triticum aestivum (bread wheat). RNAcentral describes it as "partial small subunit ribosomal RNA". The record is from RNAcentral. Lineage: Eukaryota; Viridiplantae; Streptophyta; Magnoliopsida; Poales; Poaceae.